This is an unclassified non-coding RNA of Macaca mulatta (Rhesus monkey), 148 nucleotides long. It matches the Rfam family "Metazoan signal recognition particle RNA". Rfam says of the family: The signal recognition particle (SRP) is a universally conserved ribonucleoprotein. NCBI's taxonomy places the organism in Eukaryota, Metazoa, Chordata, Mammalia, Primates, Cercopithecidae. The record is from Ensembl.
GCAGGGCAUGGUGGCGCAAGCUUGUAGUCCCACCUACUCAGGAGGCUGAGGCUGGAGGAUCGCUUGAGCCCAGGAGUUGGAGUGUUCAGUGAGCUACGAUUGGGCCACUGUACUCCAGCCUGGGCAACAGAGUGAGACCCUGUCUCAA